AAGAGGGAGAACCUAGCCAAACUAAGUCCAUCUCUUCAUUCUUAUGAAUUUCAGUGUUAUUUUGAUUAAAAGGAUGAUGCUAAGUUUAAGUAGCCUUAUUAACCAUGUCAAGAGAGGUUAAUUUGAAGACUUGAUUGUCGUCAAGGCUGGGUUUUGGAUGGAGAAAGCUAAGGAAACUCUUGGAGAAGGAGCUAGUAAAGGAAAGACUAAAGUGGUAGAUUGAUAGCUUGAAAGAUGGGAAUUGGUAUUUUGGAAGCUUAAUCAAGUUACCAGAAAUCCAUGGCACUAGUGAAAGUGCAAGUGUCAGAAGACUGAUAAAGUGAGGAAGAGGUGACAAUCACUGCAGGUUGCAGAAGCUGAAAGUUGAGUGCAUCUUUGGGAACUGGCAAAGACUUGCUGUUGUUUGAAGCCCCCACUGAUUUUAAAAUGUACCAACCAAAAGUGAAAACAAAGGAUGAAUGAUUUUAAAAUCUGUCAAUGCUGGAGAUUAGCUCUACUGUUUUUUUCUUUCUUUUUUCAAUCUAUUUCUGCAAUUUUCUCUUCUUUCCUUUGAUGUUCUAUUGCUUCUGCCUAGAUUUUGGCAUGUUGGUAGCAAAUUUUCCCAACUUUAAUUAUAUGUCCUUGUACCAUAGUGUGAAGUGCAGUUUGGUCCUAGAUUUUGUGACAAAUGGGAAAAAAACUGUUAAUUUUACUAGGUGGAGUAGCAUUUUUAAGUGAGGGAUAUGGCAUAUUCAGUCAACUAAUUAUAAGAUAACCCGGACCCUUGUAGUUAACCUAUACGUAUGAAAUAAAGUCGAGUUAAAUGCAAUGAUUUUAAGGCACAUGAGGUGGAAAGAAGACAGAUACACAAAAUUAGCAAAAAUGUAGAUGGACCAAAAAUGAAUUCCGUACUAUAGACCUUCUUUUACCCAAAUUUUCAUGCUUUUUUUGAAGGCAGUGUUGAUCCAAAACCAAACAGAACAGAAAACUGAAACUGAAACUGAAAACAGAAGAGGACCAAGACAAGGUAGGGCAGGGGAUGGAAAGCUGAAAGUUGAAAUGUUGAAUUACAAGGGACAUUUUAUGGUUAGCACAAGUUAUUCUGAGGGAAUCAAAUAAAGAAAAGAUGAUGUAUUGCAAUCUUCCAAUGUCAUUGAUUUUAUCUUUAUCUAACAUAUUAAAGUUGGUUUGGUUUUUUUUUCCCCCUCACCUGUCACCAAGCAAAACCCUUUGCUUUAUUUCACUGUGUUCCAUAGAUUCUCUUGAAACAUCCCUGGU
This is a long non-coding RNA of Gossypium raimondii (Peruvian cotton), 1257 nucleotides long. RefSeq lists it as uncharacterized. The transcript has 3 exons. The record is from RefSeq and is a predicted model, not a curated record. NCBI's taxonomy places the organism in Eukaryota, Viridiplantae, Streptophyta, Magnoliopsida, Malvales, Malvaceae.